RNAcentral lists this ribosomal RNA (253 nucleotides) under uncultured bacterium. RNAcentral's name for it is "partial 16S ribosomal RNA". It matches the Rfam family "Bacterial small subunit ribosomal RNA", at positions 524 to 776 of the family's 1533-position model. The record is from RNAcentral.
UACGAGAGGCCCAAACGUUAUUCGGAAUUACUGGGCUUAAAGAGUUCGUAGGCGGCGCGGAAAGUGGGGUGUGAAAGCCCUCGGCUCAACCGAGGAAUUGCGCUCCAAACUACCGUGCUUGAGGAACCUAGAGGUGAGCAGAACAGAUGGUGGAGCGGUGAAAUGCGUUGAUAUCAUCUGGAAUACCGGAGGCGAAGGCGGCUCACUGGGGGUUUUCUGACGCUGAGGAACGAAAGCCAGGGUAGCGAACGGG